GGGGUUGUGGCUCAGUGGUAGAGCUCUUUCCUGGCAUGUGUGAGAUACUGGGUCAGAUCCUCAGCACCACA
Molecule: transfer RNA, 71 nt
Filed under: Marmota monax (woodchuck)
Lineage: Eukaryota; Metazoa; Chordata; Mammalia; Rodentia; Sciuridae
Description: tRNA.Ala
Source: RNAcentral